GCAUAUCAAUAAGCGGAGGAAAAGAAAAUAACAAUGAUUCCCCUAGUAACUGCGAGUGUAGAGGGACAAGCUCAAAUUUUAAAUCUAUCGGGUUUUACCUGAUCGAGUUGUAAUUUGAAGAUGGCGUUUUCUGUGUUUCUGAUCAGUUCAAGUCCUUUGGGAUAAGGCAUCAUGGAGGGUGAGAAUCCCGUUCGGUUGAUCAGAUUCGCUUUACGAUACGUUAUCAAAGAGUCAAGUUGUUUGGGAUUGCAGCUUAAAAUGGGAGGUAAAUUUCUCCUAAGGCUAAUAACGGCGAGAGACCGAUAGCGAACAAGUACCGUGAGGGAAAGAUGAAAAGAACUUUGAAAAGAGAGUUAAACAGUACGUGAAAUUGUUGAAAGGGAAACGAUUGAAGCCAGUCGUACCUUCGGGUAAUCAGCCUUUCGGGUGCGAUUCUGUGGGGUGUGAGGAGCUUAACACCUUCAUGCUUUGCAUAUUUGUGCUCUUGGGUGUACUUGCCCGUGUGGUUGGUUAACAUCAAUUUUGGUUAUCAUAAAAUGACUGGAGGAAUGUAGCUUCGAUCUCGUAUUGAAGUGUUUAUAGCCUUCGGUAGAUGUGAUGAACGAGAUUGAGGAUUGCAACGGAUACCCUUCGGGGCUACCUGUCUGGUCUCUGAUCGUUGCUCUGGUGCUGAAAGCUUGCUUACAGUUAUCAAAGUUGAUGGUCAAUAGGUUAGAACGGGUUAAAUUCGUUAAGGAUGUUGACGUAAUGGCUUUAAACGACCCGUCUUGAAACACGGACCAAGGAGUCUAACAUAUAUGCGAGUGUUAGGGUGAUUAAACCCUUACGCGUAAUGAAAGUAAUUUUGGUGGGAACACUUUUGUGCACCAUCGACCGAUCAGGAUAUUUUUUGAUAGAUUUGAGUAAGAGCA
RNAcentral lists this ribosomal RNA (911 nucleotides) under Rhizophagus irregularis. RNAcentral's name for it is "eukaryotic LSU rRNA". It matches the Rfam family "Eukaryotic large subunit ribosomal RNA", at positions 38 to 802 of the family's 3401-position model. Lineage: Eukaryota; Fungi; Glomeromycota; Glomeromycetes; Glomerales; Glomeraceae. The record is from RNAcentral.